CGGGUUGUAAAGCUCUUUUGUCAGGGAAGAAACGGUGAUCUCUAAUAUAGAUUGCUAAUGACGGUACCUGAAGAAUAAGCACCGGCUAACUACGUGCCAGCAGCCGCGGUAAUACGUAGGGUGCAAGCGUUAAUCGGAAUUACUGGGCGUAAAGCGUGCGCAGGCGGUUUUGUAAGUCUGAUGUGAAAUCCCCGGGCUCAACCUGGGAACUGCAUUGGAGACUGCAAGGCUAGAGUGUGUCAGAGGGGGGUAGAAUUCCACGUGUAGCAGUGAAAUGCGUAGAGAUGUGGAGGAAUACCGAUGGCGAAGGCAGCCCCCUGGGAUAACACUGACGCUCAUGCACGAAAGCGUGGGGAGCAAACAGGAUUAGAUACCCUGGUAGUCCACGCCCUAAACGAUGUCUACUAGUUGUCGGGACUUAAUUGUCUUGGUAACGCAGCUAACGCGUGAAGUAGACCGCCUGGGGAGUACGGUCGCAAGAUUAAAACUCAAAGGAAUUGACGGGGACCCGCACAAGCGGUGGAUGAUGUGGAUUAAUUCGAUGCAACGCGAAAAACCUUACCUACCCUUGACAUGGCAGGAAUCCUGAAGAGAUUUAGGAGUGCUCGCAAGAGAACCUGCACACAGGUGCUGCAUGGCUGUCGUCAGCUC
Molecule: ribosomal RNA, 651 nt
Filed under: uncultured beta proteobacterium
Lineage: Bacteria; Pseudomonadati; Pseudomonadota; Betaproteobacteria
Description: bacterial SSU rRNA
Rfam family: Bacterial small subunit ribosomal RNA
Source: RNAcentral